UGGGGAAUAUUGGACAAUGGGGGGAACCCUGAUCCAGCAAUGCCGCGUGUGUGAAGAAGGCCUGAGGGUUGUAAAGCACUAUCAGCGGGGAGGAGGGUUUACAGGUUAAGAGCUAGUGAACUGGACGUUACCCGCAGAAGAAGCACCGGCUAACUCCGUGCCAGCAGCCGCGGUAAUACGGAGGGUGCGAGCGUUAAUCGGAAUUACUGGGCGUAAAGGGUGCGUAGGUUGUUGAAUAAGUUAUCUGUGAAAUCCCCGGGCUUAACCUGGGCAGGUCAGAUAAGACUGUUUGACUAGAGUAUGGGAGAGGGUAGUGGAAUUUCCGGUGUAGCGGUGAAAUGCGUAGAGAUCGGAAGGAACACCAGUGGCGAAGGCGGCUACCUGGCCUAAUACUGACACUGAGGCACGAAAGCGUGGGGAGCAAACAGGAUUAGAUACCCCCGUAGUCC
This 449-nucleotide ribosomal RNA is filed under the name uncultured bacterium. RNAcentral describes it as "bacterial SSU rRNA". It matches the Rfam family "Bacterial small subunit ribosomal RNA", at positions 355 to 796 of the family's 1533-position model. The record is from RNAcentral.